GAUGAACGCUGGCGGCGUGCCUAAUACAUGCAAGUCGAGCGAACAGAUGAGGAGCUUGCUCCUCUGACGUUAGCGGCGGACGGGUGAGUAACACGUGGAUAACCUACCUAUAAGACUGGUAUCACUUCGGGAAACCGGAGCUAAUACCGGAUAAUAUAUUGAACCGCAUGGUUCAAUAGUGAAAGACGGUUUUGCUGUCACUUCUAGAUGGAUCCCGGCCGCAUUAGCUAGUUGGUACGGUGACGGCUUACCAAGGCAACUAUGCGUAGCCGAGCGGAGAGAGGGAUAGGCCACAUUGGAACUGAGACGCCGUCAAGAGUCCUACGGGAGGGAGCAGUAGGGAAUCGUACGCAACAGGCGAAAGCCUGACGGAGCAAGGGCGAGUGAGUGAUGAAGGUCUUGGGAUCGGAAAACUCUGUUAUUAGGGAAGAACAAAUGUGUAAGUAACUGUGCACGUAUUGACGGUACCUAAUCAGAAAGCAACGGCUAACUACGUG
Molecule: ribosomal RNA, 497 nt
Filed under: uncultured bacterium
Lineage: Bacteria
Description: partial 16S ribosomal RNA
Rfam family: Bacterial small subunit ribosomal RNA
Source: RNAcentral